This 1954-nucleotide ribosomal RNA is filed under the name human gut metagenome. RNAcentral describes it as "bacterial LSU rRNA". It matches the Rfam family "Bacterial large subunit ribosomal RNA", at positions 500 to 2451 of the family's 2925-position model. The record is from RNAcentral.
ACCGUGAGGGAAAGGUGAAAAGAACCGCGGGAGCGGAGUGAAAGAGAACCUGAAACCGUAUGUCUACAAGCAGUCGGAGCGCAAGCGACGGCGUGCCUAUUGAAGAAUGAGCCAACGAGUUACGGGCACCAGCGAGGUUAAGCAGGAAAUGCGGAGCCGUAGGGAAACCGAGUCUGAAAAGGGCGGAUAGUUGGUGUUCGUAGACCCGAAACUGUAGUGAUCUACCCAUGAUCAGGUUGAAGCACGGGUAAAAUCGUGUGGAGGACCGAACCGGUGAGUGUUGAAAAACUUUCGGAUGAAUCGUGGGUAGCGGUGAAAUUCCAAUCGAACGCAGAGAUAGCUGGUUCUCCUCGAAAUAGCUUUAGGGCUAGCCUCAGGCAGUAAGCAUAGGCGGUAGAGCACUGAUCGGGAUAGGGACUGUAAUGGUUACCGAACCCUGUCAAACUACGAAUGGUUAUGCUGCAGAGCCUGGGAGUCAGACUACGAGAGAUAAGUCCCGUUGUCAAAAGGGAAACAGCCCAGACCAUCAGCUAAGGUCCCCAAUGCCAUACUAAGUGGAAAAGGAUGUGGGGUCUCAUAAACAACCAGGAUGUUGGCUCAGAAGCAGCCACCAUUUAAAGAGUGCGUAAUAGCUCACUGGUCGAGAGGCCCUGCGCCGAAGAUUCCCGGGGCUAAAGUAUGGAACCGAAGCUAUGGAUGCAUACGCAAGUAUGCGUGGUAGAGGAGCGUUCCCAUCGGGCUGAAGCCGUACUGGAAGGUGCGGUGGACUGGUGGGAAGUGAGAAUGUUGGCAUGAGUAGCGAAAAGAAUGGUGAGAAUCCAUUCCACCGAAAGCAUAAGGAUUCCUGAGCAACGAUCGUCGUCUCAGGGUAAGUCGGGACCUAAUCCGAGGCAAAGAGCGUAGGAGAUGGACAACUGGUCGAUAUUCCAGUACCGGCAGUGAUCGUUUGAACGAAGGAGUGACGCAGGAAGGCAGGUCCGCACGAGAUUGGUAGAUCGUGUGCAAGCGUGUAGGCUGGCAAACAGGCAAAUCCGUUUGCUGAGGCUGAGGCGUGACGCGGAGGGAACUUGUUCCCGAAGGGAUUGAGCCUACGCUGCCGAGAAAAGCUUCUAGUGAGAAAGCUGCCGCCCGUACCGUAAACCGACACAGGUAUGCGGGGAGAGAAUCCUAAGGUGCGCGGGAGAACCCUCGUUAAGGAACUCGGCAAAAUGUACCCGUAACUUCGGGAUAAGGGUAGCCACAAAGGUGAAGGGACUCGCUCCUGGAGCCCGGUGUGGUCGCAGAGAAGAGGCCCAAGCGACUGUUAACCAGAAACACAGGUGCCUGCGAAAGAGAAAUCUGAAGUAUAGGUGCUGACACCUGCCCAGUGCUGGAAGGUUAAAGAAGGAUGUCCGGGUUCGACCCAAAGCAUUCGACUGAAGCCCCAGUGAACGGCGGCCGUAACUAUAACGGUCCUAAGGUAGCGAAAUUCCUUGUCGGGUAAGUUCCGACCCGCACGAAAGGUGUAACGAUUUGGGCACUGUCUCAACGAGGGACCCGGUGAAAUUGAAAUACCUGUGAAGAUGCAGGUUACCCGCGACUGGACAGAAAGACCCCAUGGAGCUUUACUGUAACCUAAUAUUGGGUUCUGAUACUUGAUGCACAGGAUAGGUGGGAGGCAUGGAAGGCAGUCCUCUGGGAUUGCCGGAGCCGCCGUUGGGAUACCACCCUUCAAUUAUCGGGAUUCUAACCGAGCGAGCAACGAUCGCCGGGACAGUGUUAGGCGGGCAGUUUGACUGGGGCGGUCGCCUCCUAAAGAGUAACGGAGGCGCCCAAAGGUUCCCUCAGCGCGGACGGAAACCGCGCGCGGAGUGUAAAGGCAGAAGGGAGCUUGACUGCGAGCCAAACACGGCGAGCAGGUACGAAAGUAGGGCUUAGUGAUCCGGUGGCAUCCAAGUGGAAGGGCCAUCGCUCA